UACGUAGGCGGUUUACUAAGUCAGAUGUGAAAGCCCCGGGCUUAACCUGGGAACUGCAUUUGAUACUGGUAGGCUAGAGUAUGGUAGAGGGGGGUAGAAUUCAUAGUGUAGCGGUGAAAUGCGUAGAUAUUAUGAGGAAUACCAGUGGCGAAGGCGGCCCCUUGGACCAAUACUGACGCUGAGGUACGAAAGCGUGGGUAGCGAACA
This 207-nucleotide ribosomal RNA is filed under the name uncultured bacterium. RNAcentral's name for it is "partial 16S ribosomal RNA". It matches the Rfam family "Bacterial small subunit ribosomal RNA", at positions 568 to 774 of the family's 1533-position model. The record is from RNAcentral.